RNAcentral lists this unclassified non-coding RNA (345 nucleotides) under soil metagenome. Its description in RNAcentral is "partial contains 5.8S ribosomal RNA, internal transcribed spacer 2, and large subunit ribosomal RNA". The stretch from base 1 to 121 matches the Rfam family "5.8S ribosomal RNA", at positions 35 to 154 of the family's 154-position model. The record is from RNAcentral.
GAUGAAGAACGUAGCGAAAUGCGAUAAGUAAUGCGAAUUGCAGAAUUUCCGUGAGUCAUCGAAUCUUUGAACGCACAUUGCGCCCACUGGUAUUCCGGUGGGCAUGCCUGUUCGAGCGUCAUUAUCCUCCCUCAAACCUCGGGUUUGGUGUUGGACCCAAGUUGUGUGAACAACUGGUCUUAAAGACAAUGACGGCGUCCGUGGGACCCUCGGUGCAACGAGCUUUUAGGAGCACGCGCCGAGUUUCAAGGACCUUCCGGGCCGGUCUCCUUUACCAUUUUACAAGGUUGACCCCGGAUCAGGUAGGAAUACCCGCUGAACUUAAGCAUAUCAAUAAGCGGAGGA